This 233-nucleotide ribosomal RNA is filed under the name uncultured bacterium. RNAcentral describes it as "partial 16S ribosomal RNA". It matches the Rfam family "Bacterial small subunit ribosomal RNA", at positions 14 to 237 of the family's 1533-position model. The record is from RNAcentral.
GUAUCAUGGCUCAGGAUGAACGCUAGCUACAGGCUUAACACAUGCAAGUCGAGGGGCAGCAUGGUCUUAGCUUGCUAAGGCCGAUUGGCGACCGGCGCACGGGUGAGUAACGCGUAUCCAACCUGCCUUACACUCUUGGACAGCCUUCUGAAAGGGAGAUUAAUACAAGAUGUUAUCAUGAGUAAGCAUUUUCGCAUGNUUAAAGGUUUACCGGUGUAAGAUGGGGAUGCGUU